UUUCGCGGGAAUUAAGAGUAUAUGGAGGAUGCCUAGACAUAAAGAAGCGAUGAAGGACGUGGCGUGACUGCGAUAAACUCCGGGGAAGUGUCAAGCAACUUGUGAUCCGGAGGUGUCCGAAUGAGGAAACUCAUCUCGACAAACUCGAGAUACCUGUCCAACAUUUUGUACCUUGUAAUCUAUGAGCUGGGCCGAAAGGGCCGACGCGCGUGUUCAUUCGGUUUAUCCCCCAGGGAUUCCGAUAGAACAGGAUGUAUGUGCGGCUUGGAAGAAAUUCCAGCCCAGCUCACCAGUUUUUACAGGAUAUAAAAUGUUGGACGGGGGCGUACCCAGUGAAGUGAAACAUCUCAGUAACUGGAGGAAAAGAAAAAAAUCACAAAGUUAUAUUUUUUCCAAUCUGACGCAAGUCAAUUGGAGAGAAUAUUACUUUGUAUAUUCCCUUAGUAGCGGCGAGCGAAGAGGGAAGAGCCCAAACUUGAGCGUUCAGUAGUUUACUACAAGACGUUUGAGGGUUGCAGGGCACAUGCGUCUGUUGCCGCAAGGUAGCAGCAAAGCCAAUCAAGUUUUUGAUAGUUAAUCGAAUCUCAUGGAAAGGAGAGCCAUAGCGGGUGAUAGCCCCGUAGGUGAAAAUUAUCAAAACGCUUUGAGUAUGUGUUCCUAAGUAAUACGGGGAACGACAACCCCGUGUGAAUCCGGGAGAACUACUCUCCCAAGGCUAAAUAUUCUUUAUGAUCGAUAGUGAACAAGUACCGUGAGGGAAAGGUGAAAAGAACCCCGAUGAGGGGAGUGAAAUAGAACUGAAACCAUAUACUUACAAAGAGUGGGAGCCUUGGCGCAAGCCCGGGUGACCGCGUGCCUCUUGGAGAAUGAGCCAACGACUUUAUGUAUAUUGCUUGUCUAACCGCUUUGGCGGGAAGGCGAAGGGAAACCGAGUCUGAACAGGGCGUUUUGCGCUUCUCUAUCGUUCAUCGCGCAAGUCCGCAAGGAUUUCGCGUGAGCGAUAGCGAAGUGCGCUGCAGUAUGCAUAAGACCCGAAACCAGAGCGAGCUUACCAUGACCAGGGUGAACUUCACUUAACCGUGAAGGGAGGCCCGAACCGGUAUGCCGUACAAAACAUUCGGAUGAGUUGUGGUAAGAAGUGAAAAGCUUAUCGAGCCUGGAAAUAGCUGGUUCUCCCCGAAAUAGCUUUAGGACUAGCCUCACGUGUUUAUGAGUGGAGGUAGAGCACUGGAUGAGUCUGAAUGACGCAAGUUGUCAGACCCAAUCAAACUCCGAAUUCCGCUCAACAUAACGUGGGAGUAAGACUGUGGGGGCUAAGCUCCAUAGUCAAAAGGAGAAGAAUCCUGAUCACCAUUUAAGGUCCCUAAAUUUACGCUAAGUGAAAAAAGGAGGUGAGAUUUCGUAGACAGCUAGGAGGUUGGCUUAGAAGCAGCCACCCUUUAAAGAGUGCGUAACAGCUCACUAGUUUAGAGAUCUUGCGCCGAUAAUAUAACGGGGCUAAGCGUAGUACCGAAAAUGUGGACUUAUAGACUUCGGUCUAUAAUUGGUAGGGGAGCGUUCCCAUCUGCUGUGAAGGUGAAGUGUGAACUUUGCUGGAGCGUUGGGAAGUGCGAAUGUUGGCAUAAGUAACCGCAAUACCGGUGAAAGUCCGGUACACCGAAAACCCAAGGAUUCCUUGGCAAUGACAAUCAACCAAGGGUUAGUCGCGCCUAAGGUGAUGCAGAGAUGCGUAACCGAUGGACAGCAGGUUAAUAUUCCUGCACCACAUACACAAUCGAUGGAGAGACACUAAAGAGUACGUUGAUCGUAUUAUUGGAUUUACGUUCUUUGUCCGACGAAGUCUGCUAGGUAAAUCCGGCAGAUCCUUUUAAUGGGACUUCAGAUGGAUCGAGAAAAUGUUCAUAGCAAUAUGGAUAAAUUCAACGGAGCAUUUGGUCGAGAAAAUCUUCUAAGAAUAUUGUGUGUGUGCGCGUACCGCAAAACCGACGCAGGUGGGUAGGUCGAGAAGACCUAGGUGAACGAGUGAGGGUUCGUUAAGGAACUCGGCAAAAAAGCGGCCGUAAGUUCGCGAUAAGGCCUGCCCUACGUAAGUAGGGCCGCAGCUAAAGUAUCUCUGGCGACUGUUUAUCAAAAACACAGCUCCCUGCUAACUCGCAAGAGGAUGUAUAGGGGGUGACGCCUGUCCGGUGCUGGAACGUUAACGGUGGAUGUAUAUGUUUACGCAAGUAGGUGUAUGCUAUCGCCCGAAGCGCCAGUGAACGACAGCGAUAACUAUAAUCGUUCUAAGGUAGCGAAAUUCCUUGUCUGGUAAGUUCAGACGCGCACGAAUGGCGUAACGACUGGAGAACUGUCUCAACGAAUCGCUCGGUGAAAUUACAGUGAGGGUGAAGAUGCCCUCUUCCUGCAGUUAGACGAAAAGACCCCGGGAGCUUUACUGUCUCUUGUUAUUGUGAUGCGAUUUCUCCUGCGUAGCGUAGGCGGUAGACUUUGAAGUCUUGCUUUCGGGUGAGAUGGAGUCGCCAAUGAAACACCGCUCUUGAGUGGUUGCAUUACUAACCUGUCGUAAAAAAAGACGAUGGGAACAGUGGCUGGUGGACAGUUUUAGUGGGGCGCUAGCCUCCCAAAUGGUAACGGAGGCGUUUAUAAGGUCGGUUAGGUCCGGAUGGAAAUCGGACCGAUAGUGUAAAGGCAAAAACCGGCUUUACUGCAAGACGGACAUGUCGCGCAGUUGCGAAAGCAGAACUUAGUGAACCGACGCUACAUCGUAGGAUGGGCGAAGAUUAUCGGAUAAAAGCUACCCCGGGGAUAACAGGCUAGUCUUGCCCAAGAGUUCAUAUCGACGGCAAGGUUCGGCACCUCGAUGUCGGCUCGUCGCAUCCUGGGGGUGGAGAAGCUCCCAAGGGUUUGGCUGUUCGCCAAUUAAAGCGGCACGUGAGCUGGGUUCAAACCGUAGAGUAGUGAAAAGUAAUAAGUAAAAAGUUUAAAGUCGAAAGUGGAAAGUCAGUCCGAAUGCAUUUGCAUUUGAAUUAACUUUUAACUUUCUACCUUCAACUUGCAACUUUCCAUUUUUGACUAUUGUACCGUUUGAGCCCGAGGAAUUAGACAUCGUUCAUGGCGGCGCUCAGCAGUAAUGUUGGGUGAGAAGUUGACUCAUAUCGGUGAAACCCAUUUUGGGCAAUACCGAGGGAAGUUUUAUAAUUAUGAUUUCAUGAUUAUCUAAAACACCCGUAGAGACUACACGUCAACUAUCCUGUGUAAAACAGGAUAAUGGUAUAGUCCAAUCCACGUAGCAAUACGUGACGUAGAUGCGUGAGACAGGUUGGUCUCCUAUCUACUGCAGGCGCAGAGACUUGAGGGGCGUUCUCUCUAGUACGAGAGGACCGAGAGGAACAGACCGCUGGUGUACCAGCUGUCCCGCCAGGGGCAACGCUGGGUAGCUACGUCUGGAAGUGAUAAGAGCUGAAAGCAUCUAAGCUCGAAACAUCCCCCGAGAUUAGGUCUCAUUGGAAGUGAUUCCUGAAGGAUCGUGGAAGAUUACCACGUUGAUAGGUUGCAGCUGGAAGCACAGUAAUGUGUUGAGGCGAGCAAUACUAAUUAUCCAAUCCCGCGAAAAC
Molecule: non-coding RNA, 3614 nt
Organism: Candidatus Azambacteria bacterium RBG_16_47_10
Lineage: Bacteria; Candidatus Azamiibacteriota
Source: Rfam